RNAcentral lists this transfer RNA (74 nucleotides) under Schistocerca americana (American grasshopper). RNAcentral's name for it is "tRNA-Pro". It matches the Rfam family "tRNA". From Rfam's summary of the family: Transfer RNA (tRNA) molecules are approximately 80 nucleotides in length. Lineage: Eukaryota; Metazoa; Arthropoda; Insecta; Orthoptera; Acrididae. The record is from RNAcentral.
UGCUGGGUAGCUCAGUUGGUAGAGCAAUUGCCCGCGGAAGGCAAAGGUCUCGAGUUCGAGUCUCGGUCCGGCAC